AAAGAGUGUCGUGUGACCGGCUCGUCGAUUGAACGCUGUCCAAGUACUUCGACACGAUGCUAAUCGUAGCGUUUAAUUUAUCGAAGGAGUUUUAGACCGAGUCUAAAACUUAAAUUAAAAGUGGUGUACAGGUGAGUAUUAGAUUUUUUGGCCAAUCCUAAAGAAAAGAAAAAAUCCUUUAUAUCAAAAAGGGGAAGCCCGCUUUAGGGGGAAAAUUAAAAUCUCAGGGAUAGGUAGUUGUUAAGGUAAUAGCUUAACAAGCCUUAAUUCUCUUAGUCGAAGCUGAAAGGUUGAUCGACCACAUUGGGGAUGAAAAAAUCCCAAGGCAAAUAAGUACAGCAGUGAGGAAUAUUGGUCAAUGGCCGAGCGGCUGAACUGGUAACUUGGAAGAACGGUGGCCCUUAAAGAAAUCUUAGUUUGUCUUUCAAAGUCAAAAAUAUAAUGUGACUGGGCCAAUUUUAUCGAUUUAUCGAAUAAAGUUCUGUAUACAUAUUGAUAAUGACAAUAUGUACAUAUGUCUUGACCAAUUACGUGCCAGCAGUCGCGGCAAUACGUAAGAGACUAGUGUUAAUCAUCUUUAAUAGGUUUAAAGGGUACUCAGACGGAAAAAGUUUGCCUGAAAUAGGGACAAUUUUUCUAGAGUUUUAUGUAAGAAGAUCGAACUUUAGAGUGUAGAGAUAAAAUUCGUUGAUACCUAGGGGACUGGUGAGGGCGAAGGCAAUCUUUUAUGUAAAAACUGACGUCGAAGGACGAAGGCUAAGGUCGCAAAAAGGAUUAGAGACCCAAGUAGUCUUAGCAGUCAAUUAUGAAUGCCAUAGGUUAGAUGUUAGGUCUAGCCUAUAAAUGAAAGUGUAAGCAUUUCACCUCAAGAGUAAUGUGGCAACGCAGGAACUGAAAUCACUAGACCGUUUCUGACACCAGCAGUGAAGUAUGUUAUUUAAUUCGAUGACCCACGAAAAACCUUACCACAACUUGAAUAGUUGUUUUUUAUAUAUAAGUAAAUAUAUAAUUACUUCGAUAAAACAAGUGUUGCACGGCUGUCUUCAGUUAAUGUUGUGAAACUGUGGUUUAGUCCACGUAAUUAACGAAAACCCUUGCUUUAUUUGUAAAUUAAAAAAAAUAAAGUAUUUCGCCUUUAUAUGGGUAAUGAUAAAAGGGAUCAAGACAAGUCAUCAUGGCCUAGAUGUUGUGGGCUAUAGACGUGCCACAUGUUCCUAAACAAAUAGAUGCAAAAAUGUGAAUUUUAGCUAAUCUAACAAAAUAGGAUAAAAUAGAUAUGAAUUGUAGUCUGAAAUUCGGCUGCAUGAAUAAGAAAUUGCUAGUAAUCGUGAAUCACCAUGACACGGUGAAUAUUACCUCGGAUUGGUACUAACCACUCGUCACAUGCUGAAAAUAGUUUACACAAUAAGUUUGCUUCAUCUGCGCUAAGUAAGUAAAUGUCUAAGUUUUAGAUGUUAGAACAGGGUCCUUCCUAUGUGUGGCUAUGAUUAGUGUAAAGUCGAAAUACGGUUCGUGUAGUGGAAGUUGCACGGGAUUUAUCAGCGAU
Ribosomal RNA from Chaetomium globosum CBS 148.51, 1546 nucleotides. It matches the Rfam family "Bacterial small subunit ribosomal RNA". Lineage: Eukaryota; Fungi; Ascomycota; Sordariomycetes; Sordariales; Chaetomiaceae. The record is from Rfam.